CUACGGGGGGCAGCAGUGAGGAAUAUUGGACAAUGGAUGGAAAUCUGAUCCAGCCAUGCCGCGUGCAGGAAGACGGCCCUAUGGGUUGUAAACUGCUUUUGUAUGGGAGCAAUAAGGUCUAUGCGUAGACUGAUGAGAGUACCAUACGAAUAAGCAUCGGCUAACUCCGUGCCAGCAGCCGCGGUAAUACGGGGGAUGCAAGCGUUAUCCGGAUUUAUUGGGUUUAAAGGGUGCGCAGGCGGUUUGAUAAGUCAGCGGUGAAAUAUUUCAGCUUAACUGAAAGGGUGCCGUUGAUACUGUCAGGCUUGAAUAUGGUUGCUGUGGGUGGAAUGUGUGGUGUAGCGGUGAAAUGCUUAGAUAUCACACAGAAUAUCGAUUGCGAAGGCAGCUCACAAAGCCAUUAUUGACGCUGAUGCACGAAAGUGUGGGGAUCAAACAGGAUUAGAUACCCUGGUAGUCCACACUGUAAACGAUGAUAACUCGCUGUCGGCGAUACACAGUCGGUAGCCAAGCGAAAGCGAUAAGUUAUCCACCUGGGGAGUACGACCGCAAGGUUGAAACUCAAAGGAAUUGACGGGGGCCCGCACAAGCGGAGGAACAUGUGGUUUAAUUCGAUGAUACGCGAGGAACCUUACCCGGGCUCGAACGGUGCAGGAAUAUGUCAGAGAUGGCAUAGCUAGCAAUAGUCUGUAUCGAGGUGCUGCAUGGUUGUCGUCAGCUCGUGUCGUGAGGUGUCGGCU
Molecule: ribosomal RNA, 740 nt
Filed under: uncultured bacterium
Lineage: Bacteria
Description: bacterial SSU rRNA
Rfam family: Bacterial small subunit ribosomal RNA
Source: RNAcentral